Molecule: long non-coding RNA, 8883 nt
Filed under: Gossypium barbadense (sea-island cotton)
Lineage: Eukaryota; Viridiplantae; Streptophyta; Magnoliopsida; Malvales; Malvaceae
Description: long non-coding RNA (GBAR_LNC020691)
Source: RNAcentral
UUCAAUUCCCUUUUAUUGUAUAAUUUUUAUUUACUGAAUUUUUGCCCAGAAAACCCUAGGAAUCGUCCCCUAGUUUAACCUAGCUAUAAAUAUUAUUUUUACUCCCAUUUGUCAGAAUUUUCCCACUUUCUGCUCCCCUUGUCAUCCCCUCUAUUUUCCCUCACUGUUUCUUUGAAUUUUUUCUUCUUUUUCUUCCUUUUUGUGCCGCCCAAUUAAUCAUCAACUUCCCUUGCCUCAUAUUUUAUUUUGCUGCUAUUUUUUUACUGCAAUUAUCUCACCAUUGUAGCCCUUUUCUCCUCCAUUUUUGCCGUCCCAGUAAGCCACCAUCUUUGUCGUUGCCACCCUUUUGAUUCUCUGCCUCUAUUCUUCAUUAUUUCUUUUUUCGUCACGAUUUUGAGCAAGUAAAGUAAGUGCAAAUUUUUCACUUUAAUUCUUUCAGAUCUAAGUUUUUUUUUCUUUUUUUUCAUAUUCUAAUAUGGCCGAUUGAUUUUUGGCAUAGCCGAAUCUUUCAAGUUACUUUUUAUUUGGUGUUUGAAUGUUCAAGAUCUAGAUCCAAACCAUAUGGAUCAGCCAUAGCGUUGGGAAGACUGUUUGCAAAGUCAUCAUAAGUCAGUUAAGGUAAGCAUUAAUUUUCACUUCAGAUAUGAAGUUUUCAAUUAAAAUUUGUUGCUUGGUCUAACCCUAUGAGGGCAAUAGGGGGCUAAUUGUUAAUGAUUAAAACUUUAUUGGGUACAGAUCUGAGUGGGAGCUAUCUAGAUCCCAAGUCUAAGAGUUGCGAAAAAGCGACAGAUUUCAGAUUAGUGCUAAAACGUUUGGGUCUUCCCUUAUGCUUAAUUAACUUGAAAAUCAUAUAAUAUAUUUGUAAAUGGUAAAUAUGCUUUCUGGUUUUGGUUUGGUUGAAUGGCCUAAGUGCAAAUAAGUGAGGUGCCGAGCAGGGUACAUAAACAAUUAGAAAGUCUAUUUGUUAAAGGUCCUGUUUGGGUGAUGAAAUUGUGAACUGAAUGUAUGUAUAGCAUGCUAGAUUUUGAAACACUAACUGGGGUGCAUGUUUUAUGCCAUGAUUGGCAUUGACUGUAUGAAACCAUGUUAGCAUGCCAUUUUUACCAUUAAAUAAAAAGUAUGUAAAGCACAUAUCGACAUUGAAUAUUGACUUACAUGUUAAACAUGCUAUUGUACUGAAACAAUUACUGAAAGCAUGAUGUGCUUAUAGAUUGUAUGACAUAUUUAAUCUGUAUGGGGUGGGUAUUUUUGGUUGAUGGAGGAGUUUCGUGGAGUACUGACAGCAUUUAAAGUCCACAAUAUUGUUGUCAGUGUACUACACCGGAGUAUCGAGGAGAUUGGGAGAUUUAUAGCAUUUUACUGGCAAUUUUAUCUACAUACUAUUACUGGUGGUUUUAACCACAUCGAGAUUCUACUCUUAUAGUUUUAGAGUUCAAAUGACGGGUUAUAGAGAACUCGUGGUGUGUAGAGGAUGGUUGUGUAGGAUUAUUGCACUGUAUCAUUGAGCAUGUCAUAUUCAUAUGUUGUAAUGCCAUGAUAAAUUGUUUGAAAUGUUAUAAUAAUUGUGUGGCUAUUUGACUGAGUAAAUGCUUAUAUUGCUUAGACUCGUCCCUAAUUUACUCCUUACAAAUAACCAUUAGGAUUAGGGUCAGAUUCGGUGUGCAAUGACUCAUAUCAAAUUUUUACCUAAUAACGUUUAGGUUGAGUUUGGAAGGUUACAUUUGGUGGUAUUAGAGCCCGAUUUAGUAACUUAGCCUGAAAGAAACUGAAUCUGCAUGCAUCCUUUUGAAAGGGGUAUUUUGGGGAAAAACUUGUCACAGUGUUUUAUUUAAAAAAUUUUCUAAAAAAAUAUUCUUAAACUCCGAGACUCCGAUGCCAACUUUAUUAAAUACUAUUAAUAUCACACUGUAGAUAAACACUAGGAUCGAAUUGCACAAAAUUUUAAGACUUUAGAAAUUAAAAAUAUAUAGUGUUUAUGUCUUUAUGAAACUGUAGAUGAGAUUUAAAAAAUAUAAACUGAGAUGGUAUAAUGAGUACCCACGGAACACGAGCCUGUGGAAUGUGAGGUUGUAGGGGUGUCAUCGAGUGGUUCAGGCUGAGUCAUCCUUUCUGGGAAACAUGCCCAAUCUAGAGACUAGUGAAACUACUAAAACGUCUGUCAGUGAGGGCAUUAAUAAGGGAAUUGGGGAUGAUGUUAUAUCCUAAGCAAUGUUAAGGGUAAUACAGAGGGUCAUUGGGGCCUAAAUUGGUACUGGGAAUCGUGGGCCCACUAUUGAAAGUCUCUGAUCUAAUGGGGUUGAGCUAUUUAAGGGUAUUUCUAGAACAACCCCUACAGUGGUCGAAUAUUGGAUAGAAACUACCGAGAGAAUUUUAGAGGAUAUGGAUUGCAUUCCAAAAUAGAAGCUUAAGGGUGUUGUGUGCUUACUUAGGGAUGGAACUUAUCGUUGGUGGUAACUGUUAGUUAGGGGUACCAUGGCUGAGCGCAUUACUUGGACUUAUUUUCAAGAGGCCUUUCAGAAAAAAUAUGUGGGUACCAGGUAUCUGGAGGCCCAUCGGUUGGAGUUUAUUGAACUCAAGUAAGGGGACAUGUCUGUGUCAGAAUAUGAGGUAGAAUUUCUAAGGUUGAACUGCUAUGCUCCAGGUAUGAUGGCAACUCAAAAGGACAAGAGUUUGUAUUUUGAUGAGGGCCUUAGGUAUGAUAUGAAAAUUCAAGUGGCCUCGUAUCAAGAGAGAGUAUUUUAGAACUUAGUUGAGAAGGCUAAAAUUGUUGAAGAGGUUAAGCGUGAAAAGAAAGAUAAAAAAAAGGUUCAAAAUAAGAGGGAGUAUGGUUCUACUGGCCCAAAUCUGUAACCUGUGAAGUAGGUCAGAGAAGUCAAGCCACAAUAGAGCGAUGCAACAUGGGUAUUGGGGUUGGUGGAAUUCAGUUGUAUAGGUUCUGUGAUAAGCGCCAUCUGGGCGAGUGUUGGAAGAGGUUGGGUGCAUGUUUCGGUUGUGGUUCGAUUGAGCACCGAGUUAAGGACUACUUUCGCCAGGUUAAUCAGAUGCAAGCUCUAGUACAAAAUAAGCUACAAAAUUUGAGGGUUGGGUCAAUACCUCAGAGUGGUCGUGGUUCGAAUAGGAAUGGUAAUAAUGGGUAGGGCCAGCGAGCACCGGUUUAGGGUGCAAACAGAAAAAAGGCUAGGCAAUCUGUUCUAGUUUGUGCUGCAAGUUACCGAGAGGACUGAGAUGCGAUCGAUGUCAUAACAGGUACCUUCACUAUCCAUUUUCUACCUUACUUUGCUUUAGUUGAAAUUGGAGCUAUAUACUCCUAUAUUACAUAUAAUGUAUCUGAAAAACUAGAAUUGGGGUAGAAAAUACUGCUAAUACUAUUACUAUAGUCAUCCCUUUAGCACAAUUUGUGGUAGUAGAUAAUAUUUAUAAGAUGUGCUCGUUGGAAGUUCAAGAGGCGAUUUUUUGGGCUGAUUUGAUGGAACUGCUAUUUGACGAAUUUGACUUGAUAUUGGGUAUGGACUGGUUAGUUGAACAUCAAGUCAAAUCAAACUGUGCUACUAAGAGGGUAACAUUGAAGACUUCUAAUGGUAAACAUAUCGUCAUGGUUGGGGAGCAUCGGGAUUAUCUACCAAAUGUGAUCUUUGUUAUGGUAGUAGAGAAAUUUGUCUGAAAAGGGUGUAAGGCAUUUUUGGCCUAUGUCUGAGAUGCAAGUGUUACUAGUCUAGCUAUGGAGAAUAUCUUAACUAUUAAGGAGUUUUCAGACAUUUUUCUCGAGGAAAUUCCAAGGUUACCUUCGGUCGUGAGGUUGUGUUUGGAAUUGAGUUGUUACCUGGAACAACACUGGUGUACAUUGUUCCCUACUGUAUGGCACCAGAAGAACUCAAAGAGUUAAAGAUCUAACUUCAAGAGCUCUUGGAUCGCGAUUUCAUAAGACCUAGUAUUUCGCUGUAGGGCACUCCGAUUAUUUUUGUUAAGAAGAAUGAUGGUUCUCUGAGAUUGUGCAUCAAUUAUAGGCAGUUAAAUAAGUUGACAGUGAAGAAUAAGUAUCCUCUACCUAGGAUUGAUUAUCUAUUUGAUUAGUUUCGAGGGACAACAAUUUUCUCUAAGAUAAAAUUCAGAUCUGGGUAUUACUAGUUUAAAUUGAAGGAAUCAGAUGUGCCUAAAACUACAUUUAGAACUCGGUAUAGCCAUUUCGGGUUCCUGGUUAUUCCUUUUGGCUUUACGAAUGCUUCAACUGUAAAUUUUACGUGAGAAGAAGCUUUUUGCUAAAUUGAGUAAGUACAAGUUUAGGCUAAAAGAGGUAAUGUUUUUGGGUCAUGUGGUAUAUGCUGAGGGUAUCCGUGUGGAUUCAUAAAAGAUAGAAGACAUUCUGGAAUGGAAGCAGCCUAAGAGUGUUUCAGAUAUUCGAAGCUUUUUUAGUUUGGCAGGGUACUAUCGAAGGUUUGUUGAGGGUUUCUCCUUGAUAGCUGAUCCCUUAACUAAGCUAUUGAGGAAGAACACACCUUUUAAAUGGUCAGAUGACCAACAAGCCAUCUUUGAGAAGUUUAAAUUCGUGUUGGCUCAAGCUCUAGUUUUAAUUCAGCCAAAAUUUGGGAAAGACUAUGUUUUAUACAAUGACGUAUCACACACCAAUCUUGGUUGUGUAUUGAUGCAAGAUUACAAAGUGGUAGCUUAUGCUUUGAGACAACUUAAGCCACAUUAGUGCAAUUAUUUGACUCGUGAUAUAGAGUUGGCAACUGUGGUGUUUUCUUUGAAGAUAUAGAGACAUUACCUUUAUGGUGAGAAGUGUAUUAUCUACACGGAACAAAAAAAGUCUCAAAUAUCUCCUCACCUAUAAGGAGUUAAAUUUAAGACAAUAGAGAUGGAUUGAGCUGUUGAAGGACUAUGACUGUAUUAUAGAGUAUCAUCCUGGUAAAUCUAAUAUUACGGCUGAUGCUCUAAGUAGAAGAUCAAUGACUAAGCUUAAGGCUAUGUUUACAAGAUUGAGUUCGUAUGAGGAUGGUGGUCUUUCAGCUGAGUUGCAAGUUAAGCCUAAGUAGGUAAGUGGGAUUGAGGUUAAGCAACCUUUAGAUGUAUCCUUGUUGCCUCGAUUUAAAUAGAUUGAAUAUGAUAAGCCUGAGGAUUUCAGGUUGAAGUCUUAGGGUAUUAUGUGUUUCAAAAAAAGAUAAUGUGUGUCGAAUGAUCCAGAUUUUAGACAGUCCAUCUCUCAGGAAGUGUAUAGUAGCCCUUACGCUAUGUAUCAUUAGGGUAAUAAAGUGUAUCGGGACUUAAGGGAGUUGUAUUGGUGGCCCAAACUGAAGCGGGAGGUGACAUAUUUUGUAUUUAAGUGCUAAACUUGUCAGCAAGUAAAGGCUAAGCAUCAGUUUCCUUUUGGGUUGUUGUAACCAAUUAGAAUUUCGUAAGAGAAUUGAGAGAGAGUCACUAUGGACUUCAUUAGUGGGUUGCCCUUAACACUUGCUAAAAAGGAUUCGAUAUGGGUUAUAGUUGAUAGAUUGACAAAGUUGGCUCACUUCCAACCGGUUCACACUAACUAUUCCCUAAAAAAGCUAGCUAACCUUUAUAUCUCCGAAAUAGAAAGAUUGUAUGGGGUUCCUAUGUCAAUUAUUUCAAAUCGAGAUCCACGUUUCACAUUUCGAUUCUGGAAGAAGCUUUAUGAGGCACUGGGUAUUCGGUUAGAUUUCAGUACGACAUUCUAUCUAUAGACAGAUGAACAGUCCGAGCGGGUUAUCCAGGUUUUAGAGGAUUUGUUAAGGAGCUAUGUGAUUGAGUUUUAGGGUAGUUGGAAAGAGCAUCUACUGUUAGUUGUAUUCACUUACAACAACAAUUUUCAAUCCAGUAUAUAGAUGAAACCUUAUGAGGGUUUGUAUGGUUGUAGGUGUCACACUCUUUUGUGUUGGACUAAGUUGGGCGAGAGAAAAGUUUUUAGUUUGGAGUUGGUUCAAGAGACCGAGGGUACUGUCAAACUAAUUUGGGAUAAAUUAAAAACGGCCUAGGAUAGGUAAAAGUCCUAUACGGAUCUGAAGGGGAAGGAAAUUGAGUUUAUUUUCGGCCAUCGGGUUUUCUUGAAAGUAUCACCAUAGGAAAAGGUAUUGAGGUUUGGAGGAAAGAACAAGUUGAGCCCUAGGUUUAUUGGACCGUAUCGAAUUCUUAAGAGAAUUAGACUGGUGACUUAUCAGCUUAAGUUGCCUACUUAGUUGGACCGCAUUCAUGGAGUGUUGCAUGUGUCGAUGUUGAGACGGUACUAAUCAGACCCUUCUUACAGUAUCCCGAUUGAGGAGAUUAAGGUUAGACCAGACUUGUCCUUUGGGGAGAAGUCUAUGAAGAUUUUAGACAGAAAUGGUAAAAUUUCUUAGAAGAAAACAUAUCCCAUUAGUUGAAGUUCUUUGGCGGAACUAUGAUACCAAUGAAGCCACUUGGGAGCCAGAGGAGUCGAUUCGUCAACAGUAUCUUCACCAGUUCAAAUCAGGCAAAUUUCGAGGCUGAAAUUUCUUUUAAGGGGGGAGAGUUGUCACAUCCCAAAUUUCUAAUUGAAAAUGUUGUAAAAUUAUAGAAAACAUGAGUUACUGGUCUAAUGGUUAGGAGUUAAUGAAUUUGAACUUGAAACCCGAGUUUGAUUCUCCUCUUUUGUAUAAUUUUUAUUUACUGAUUUUUUGCCCAAAAAACCCUAGCUGUCACCCCCUAGUUUAACCUAGCUAUAAAUAUUAUUUUUACUCUCAUUUGUCAAAAAUUUUCCCAACUUUUUUAUUCCCCUUGUCGUCCCCUGCCUUUUCCCUCACUAUUUCUCUACAUUUUUUAUUUUUUUCUUCCUCUUUGUGUCGCCCCAUUGAUCAUCAACGUCGCUUGCCUCCUAUUUUAAUUUGCUAUUUUUUACUGCCACUAUUGCACCUCUAUAGCCCCUUUUCUCCUCCAUUAUCGUUGUCCUAAUAAGCCAUCAUCUUUGCCGCUGCCACCCUUUUGAUUAUUUUCCUCUACUCUUCGUUAUUUUUUCUAUCGUCACGGAUCUGAGCAAGUAAAGUAAGUGCAGAAAUUUUACUUUAAUUCUUUCAUAUCUAAGUUUUUUUUGCUCUUAUUUUCAUAUUCUGAUAUGGCUAAUUGAUUGUUGGCAUGGCCAAAUCUUAUAAGUUAUCUUUUAUUUGGUGUUUUAAUGUUCAAGAUCUAGAUCCAAACCAUACAGAUCACCCGUAGCGUUGGGAAGACUAUUUGCAAAGUCAUCAUAAGUCAAUUAAGGUAAGCAUUAAUUUUUUACUUCAGAUCUGAAGUUUUCGGUUAAAAUUUGUUGCUUGGUCAAACCCUAUGAGGGAAAAAGGGGGCUGAUUAUUAAUGAUUAAAACUUUAUUGGGUACAGAUUUGAGUGGGAGCUAUCUAAAUCUCAAGCAUAAGAGUUGUGAGAAAGUGAUAGAAUUUGGAUUAGCGCUAAUAAGUGUCUUCCUCUAUGUCUAAUUAACUUGAAAAUCAUAUAAAUUUAUAUUUAAAUGAUAAAUUUUCUUACUGGUUUUGGUUUGGCUGAAAGGCUUAAGUGCAAAUAUGUGGUGUGCCAAGCAAGUUACGUAAUUAAUUAGAAAGCAUGUUUAUUAAAGGUCUUGUUUGAGUGAUGAAAUUUUGAAUUGGGUGCAUUUAUAGCUUGCUAGAUUUUGAAACACUGAUUAAGAUGCAUUUCUUAUGCCAUGAUUGAUAUUGACUAUAUGAAACCAUGUGAGCAUGCAAUUGUUACGUUAAAUGAAAAACAUGCAAAGCAUACAUCGACGUCGAUAGUGACUUGCAUGUUAAACAUGCCAUUGUACUGAAAUAGUUACUAAAGGCAUGAUGUGCUUACCGAUUGUAUGACAUAUUGCAUCUAUAUAGGGUGGGUAUUUGUGGUUGACAGAGGAGUUCCAUGAAGUACCGACGACAUUUAAAUUCAGUAAUAUUGUUUUUAGUACACUACACCAUAGUACCGAGAAGAUUGGGUGAUUUAUUGCAUUUUACUGGCAGUUUUAUCUGCAUACUAUUACUGGUAGUUUUAACCACAUCGAACUUCGGCUCUUACUAUUUUGGAGUUCGGAUGACUGGUUCUAGGGAACCUGUGGUGUGUAGAGGAUAGUUGAGUAGGAUUAUUGCACUGUAUUAUUGAGCAUGCCUUAUUCAUAUGUUGUAAUGCCAUGAUAAAUUGUUUGAAAUGUUAUAAUAAUUGUAUGCCUAUUUGACUGAUUGAAUGCUUAUAUUGCUUAGACUCAUUGGGCUUUUAAAGGUCACCCCAUUAAUUUACUUCUUACAGAUAACCCUCAGGACUAGGGCCGGAUUCGGCGUAUGGAGGUCUCAUCUCGUAUUUUUACCUAAUAAAGUAUUUUGAAUUUUAUUUUAUUUAUUUUGGUAUUAUUAUUUUGGGAUUGUAAUUUUUAUUUAAGUAUGGACUGUGGUAUGAUACACUUUUAACUUGGAUUUUGCUUGCAUGAGUUUUUUUAUGAAAACUGAACAAAUUUUAAAACUGACUUAAUAUGACUUAAAAAAUACGAAUUUUUCUACGAAAAUCAAAUGCAAUACUUUUUCUGCCGUGUAACGGUAAAACAAAGGUUUUAAAAGGGUUUUCCGACGAAAUCAACUGAGUUUUAUUUCUAACGACACGACCUUUUAAUAAAUUGAAGUUAACAAUAAAUGACCUAACAAACUAGUGUUUUUAGCAACCCUUAUUUGACCAAGCUAAGUUUUCUGAAAAAUCAAACAAAAUAAUGGUUUUUCAAUUAGACGUUUUUACUUAGCCAUUUCGGUGGCUAAUAUAACCUUCGGGAUUUGGUCAUAACAUUUAGGCCGGGUUUGGAAGGUUACACUAAGAUUACCUAGAAGCACAUUUUACUUAAUUUUCCUUGUUAUAGAAUUUUUUUAAUUGGUUUAAUUUCCUUAAUUUUUUAGUCUCAA